CUUCAGAAGAGAAAAGCAACCUUUGCUUUACAACCCGAUUUCCCCCCAACCUCAACCCACCAAACCCCCCACCUCCAUCUUUCUCACUAUGUACUUCUAUAUUUAGUGGCACCCUUGUAUACAGCUUCAAACCCACAAACCUAAUUCUUUCCAUACCCUUUCUUGGUUUGUGCGAUUUCAAAAGGGUUUGAUGCUUCUUUUUAAAAGGAUUAAAUGGGUUAUAGGCUUUUCUUUCUUCUUUAAUUUGACCCAAUUUUGAUCCUCCAAACCUCUUCCUCUUUCAUGAAUCCUCAAAUAUAUGUACCAAGAAAAACCCUAUUAAUUUCUCGCUUCACCUUGGUAGCCAUUCUAUGUGAUGAAAAUUGCAUAUCGCAUGGACACAAUAACUAGGUUUUCAUAAGAUUGUAAACAUUUCAGCAGGUAUAUAUGUAGGAUUUAUGUAUAGUGUGGAUGUCCAAGUAUACGUAUAUGCCUGGCUCCCUGUAUGCCAUUUGCAGAGCCCACCGAUGAACCGAUGGCCCUCCGCGGAUGGCGUAUGAGGAGCCAAGCAUAUUCACAUAUCGUAUACACGGUAACUCUAUUCUCUAGGCCGUUCUUUAUCACAGUUGUAUGUCUUUUCUACAAUCUUAUUUUAUAUUCUUGGAAGAUGAUUAAAUUUUAUUGAAUUCAAGUAAUUGCUUGAUAUUCUUUCCACAUUUUACCUAAUAAAUUCUGAAAUUUUUUGUUUGAUAACAAUCAUAUGACAGCUGCAGAAAAUGAACUAGAGACGUAAGAAUGAAAGUGAAAUAUGCUUAUGGGAAAUGAUUCCAUCAGACAUAGAAUUACACGACAGUUUUACAAGAGACUAGUGUCAAAUCACUUCACGUGGAACAAGGAGCCUGUGCAACCUGUAGAAUUAUAUGUUGUUCAUAUUCCGAUAAGGGCAUCCACAUUCUCUAUAAACAGACAACAUGAAAGUUACAAACUUUGCUAGAUUACUUUACAGUACAUCAUUUUUGAUAGAAACCACUGUAGUAUUAGAAUCUUGACACCCACUUUCUUAAAUAAAAAAAAUUGCAUUGUUGUGACUUGUGUCAACUUUGUUUACAUAAUACAUGUAGUAUUAACGUUGAUCGAAAAAUUAAUAUAAUUACUGUUUAUUUAUAUUGAUA
This 1151-nucleotide long non-coding RNA is filed under the name Olea europaea subsp. europaea. The stretch from base 467 to 553 matches the Rfam family "mir-160 microRNA precursor family". Lineage: Eukaryota; Viridiplantae; Streptophyta; Magnoliopsida; Lamiales; Oleaceae. The record is from RNAcentral.